RNAcentral lists this ribosomal RNA (460 nucleotides) under uncultured bacterium. RNAcentral's name for it is "partial 16S ribosomal RNA". It matches the Rfam family "Bacterial small subunit ribosomal RNA", at positions 338 to 795 of the family's 1533-position model. The record is from RNAcentral.
CCUACGGGUGGCAGCAGUGAGGAAUAUUGGUCAAUGGACGUGAGCCUGAACCAGCCAAGUAGCGUGAAGGAUGACUGCCCUAUGGGUUGUAAACUUCUUUUGUCAAGGAAUAAAACGAGCCACGUGUGCCUUUUCUCAUAUUAUCUGUGAAUAAAGCUUGGGCAAACCCCUGCCAGGAGCCGGCGUUAUUCGGAGGAUUCGAGGCUUUUCCGGAUUUAUUGGGUUUAAAGGGAUCGUAGAUGGGUUGUUAAGUCAGUUGUGAAAGUUUGGGGCUCAACCGUAGCAUUGCAAUUGAUACUGGCAGUCUUGAGUACAGGUGAGGUAGGCGGAAUGCGUGGUGUAGCGGUGAAAUGCAUAGAUAUCACGAAGAACCCCGAUUGCGAAGGCAGCUUACUGAACUGUGACUGACGUUGAUGCACGAAAGUGUGGGUAUCGAACAGGAUUAGAUACCCCUGUAGUC